RNAcentral lists this ribosomal RNA (427 nucleotides) under uncultured bacterium. RNAcentral describes it as "partial 16S ribosomal RNA". It matches the Rfam family "Bacterial small subunit ribosomal RNA", at positions 355 to 774 of the family's 1533-position model. The record is from RNAcentral.
UGGGGAAUAUUGCACAAUGGGCGCAAGCCUGAUGCAGCCAUGCCGCGUGUAUGAAGAAGGCCUUCGGGUUGUAAAGUACUUUCAGCGGGAAGGAAGGUGUUGAGGUUAAUAACCUCAGCAAUUGACGUUACCCGCAGAAGAAGCACCGGCUAACUCCGUGCCAGCAGCCGCGGUAAUACGGAGGGGGCAAGCGUUAAUCGGAAUUACUGGGCGUAAAGCGCACGCAGGCGGUCUGUCAAGUCGGAUGUGAAAUCCCCGGGCUCAACCUGGGAACUGCAUUCGAAACUGGCAGGCUAGAGUCUUGUAGAGGGGGGUAGAAUUCCAGGUGUAGCGGUGAAAUGCGUAGAGAUCUGGAGGAAUACCGGUGGCGAAGGCGGCCCCCUGGACAAAGACUGACGCUCAGGUGCGAAAGCGUGGGGAGCAAACA